GAUGAACGCUGGCGGCGUGCCUAAUACAUGCAAGUCGAGCGAACAGACGAGGAGCUUGCUCCUCUGACGUUAGCGGGGGACGGGUGAGUAACACGUGGAUAACCUACCUAUAAGACUGGGAUAACUUCGGGAAACCGGAGCUAAUACCGGAUAAUAUAUUGAACCGCAUGGUUCAAUAGUGAAAGACGGUUUUGCUGUCACUUAUAGAUGGAUCCGCGCCGCAUUAGCUAGUUGGUAAGGUAACGGCUUACCAAGGCAACGAUGCGUAGCCGACCUGAGAGGGUGAUCGGCCACACUGGAACUGAGACACGGUCCAGACUCCUACGGGAGGCAGCAGUAGGGAAUCUUCCGCAAUGAGCGAAAGCUUGACGGAGCAACGCCGCGUGAGUGAUGAAGGUCUUCGGAUCGUAAAACUCUGUUAUUAGGGAAGAACAAAUGUGUAAGUAACUAUGCACGUCUUGACGGUACCUAAUCAGAAAGCCACGGCUAACUACGUG
This 497-nucleotide ribosomal RNA is filed under the name uncultured bacterium. RNAcentral describes it as "partial 16S ribosomal RNA". It matches the Rfam family "Bacterial small subunit ribosomal RNA", at positions 28 to 507 of the family's 1533-position model. The record is from RNAcentral.